Molecule: long non-coding RNA, 1758 nt
Organism: Xiphophorus couchianus (Monterrey platyfish)
Lineage: Eukaryota; Metazoa; Chordata; Actinopteri; Cyprinodontiformes; Poeciliidae
Exons: 2
Source: RefSeq, a predicted model, not a curated record
GAACAUUUAGCAACAGUCUGAAUAAGUGCUCCUGAUUUAUUUGGAAUCAAUGAGAAUGUUUCCUAAAUCAGUUUCUAUUUAGACUCUGUACACUGUAAAAUGUAAUAGUAUAUCUUACUCUAAAAGAAAAGUGACCUUAACUCAUUCCAGGUUACUCUGUUGAUGUGUGUUUGAUAUGAUUUUUCAGAGUACAGUUAUUACUGCGAAGCGAACGGCAGUUCUUCAUGGCCUUCCUGUGAUCCUUGGAGAUGAAAACACAGACUUCUUCAAGACAAGCUUUGACUGCGAAGACCCAGACGUGUCUCACAACCCCAUUGGGAUUCUGACCAUCAUUCCUGAGGACAGGCAGGCCUCCCCUGACUCACUGCACCUCAGGUACUGCCAUCAUUUUGGAAGGAAGUCUUCUCAUGAAUGACCUUGGAAAUCUUCCACAUGCCACGUGCUUGCUCUUUGGACUUAUUUAUGCUCUGAAUUUGGAGUACCCUCAACAACUGAAGUACACCUUUGACUUCAUCCAAAAGGUGCUUCUCUCACUUGGACAUAAAUCCCUAAAACCAAAAAUACAAUCACUCAAAAAUCUUCUGAUGUAAUGAGUGAAUGUGAAGUGACAUUAUGGAUCAAUGUUGAUACCUUUACCCUUAUUGGAAAAGUGAUUUUUAUUUCUUGUUUGAUUCUUUUUUGUUGGAAGGAGCAUCACUGCACUUGCAGACUACUAAAUGGUUUUAUGUUAAUGAGGAGAAACAUUACUUCACUUCACUACUUCACUAUUCACUUUAUUGAUGUUAUGAUAAAUGUUAGCUCUAUUAUUGAGAAUUGAGUUUUUGUUUCACACCAGUCAACAAAGACAUUUAAGCAGGGAUUCUCAAAGUUUUAAAGACUGAGGGCCACUUGAAGGAUUCAAUAUUAGAUUGAAGGCUGCCCUAGAAAAAAAGUCAUGUCAUUUUUUUUUUUUUUUCUAAAAACGCCUAUGGAAAACUUUGUUUCCAGGUUAGUGUGUAUGUAACCACACUUGAGAACCCUGUAUUUAAGGUAAACCUGUUUAAUUAUUAAACAUUUUUGUCCAUUCAAACUGUUGUCUGUUGGCUCUUCGUUUCAAUAACUUAACACUUUUGGUUCAUCUUACUUGAACAUAUCAAGGCAAUUGGUUUCCUGAUAUUUUGCAAGUAAUGUGAACGCUUAAACGUGUAAGCAUAACUUAUUUUUAUGAGUACUGCUUAAUUGACAUAACUCACAAAUUGAAGUAGUCAUAAUUGACAUUUUAUAGUCAACCUUACUAAUGAUUUUGAGUUACCUAUACUCAAGUUUACUGCCAUUGCAUGAGUUGUCUGAAUGAAUAUUUUACAGUUAACCCAAUUAAUGAUUUUGAGUUAACAGCACUCAGGUUUACUGCCAUUAUCUGAGUGGUCUAAACAUAGUUAUUUAUAGCUAUAACACCUUAAAAUGAAUUAGCUACUUUACUUGGAGAUUUUGAGGCAAUCGGUUUCCUAACUUUUUUUAAGUAAAGUGAACUUAUUACAUUUUACAGUGUACAACUGGCAUAUACAAGGGAUGAAAAACCUCUUUGAAGAUUCACUGAUGACACUGAAAACUGUCAGGAUAAAACAAACAAAUCACAAGAUCAUCAACAUUAAAGCUGAGGAUUUUGAAAGUUAUUCAAAAUCAAAUUUUUAUGCUGAAAUUUUUUACAGGUGGUGCAGACUUUUCAUAGUAGUGAUUCAGGUGGUUUCAGAAAGUUAUAAGAUACUUUCAAAAAACAUU